This 255-nucleotide ribosomal RNA is filed under the name uncultured bacterium. RNAcentral's name for it is "partial 16S ribosomal RNA". It matches the Rfam family "Bacterial small subunit ribosomal RNA", at positions 526 to 779 of the family's 1533-position model. The record is from RNAcentral.
CGGAGGGAGCUAGCGUUGUUCGGAAUUACUGGGCGUAAAGCGCACGUAGGCGGCUCAGCAAGUCAGGGGUGAAAUCCCGGGGCUCAACCCCGGAACUGCCCUUGAAACUGCUAGGCUAGAAUCCUGGAGAGGCGAGUGGAAUUCCGAGUGUAGAGGUGAAAUUCGUAGAUAUUCGGAAGAACACCAGUGGCGAAGGCGACUCGCUGGGCAGGUAUUGACGCUGAGGUGCGAAAGCGUGGGGGAGCAAACAGGAUU